Granulicella rosea is the source of this 150-nucleotide non-coding RNA. Lineage: Bacteria; Pseudomonadati; Acidobacteriota; Terriglobia; Terriglobales; Acidobacteriaceae. The record is from Rfam.
CCUGCGGUUCCGUCCGCAGUAGCCUAUCGACAUCGGAGUAGCUGGUAACGGCUGGGUCGAAAGCUGUCGAGACAACGAUCCUCUGUCUUCCGACAAGGAGAACUCCGUGAGGCGUUCUCUGCCACUGCCAGCGUCAAGGCGGUGGGAGGG